GAGUUUGAUCGUGGCUCAGAUUGAACGCUGGCGGCACGCCUAACACAUGCAAGUCGAGCGGUAGCAGGGCUAGUAGCAAUACUAGCUGCUGACGAGCGGCGGACGGGUGAGUAAGACGUAGGAACCUGCCCAAGAGAGGGGGAUAACCAAGGGAAACUUUGGCUAAUACCGCAUAAACUCGGAAGAGAAAAGGAUCCCGCAAGGGUUCCGCUUUUGGAGGGGCCUUCGUCCGAUUAGCUAGUUGGUGAGGUAAGAGCUCACCAAGGCGAUGAUCGGUAACUGGUCUGAGAGGACGACCAGUCACACUGGGACUGAGACACGGCCCAGACUCCUACGGGAGGCAGCAGUGGGGAAUAUUGGACAAUGGGGGAAACCCUGAUCCAGCGAUGCCGCGU
Molecule: ribosomal RNA, 395 nt
Filed under: uncultured Gammaproteobacteria bacterium
Lineage: Bacteria; Pseudomonadati; Pseudomonadota; Gammaproteobacteria
Description: bacterial SSU rRNA
Rfam family: Bacterial small subunit ribosomal RNA
Source: RNAcentral